AUUCCAGCUCCAAUAGUGUAUAUUAAAGUUGUUGCAGUUAAAAAGCUCGUAGUUGGAUUUCUGGCGGGAGCGAUCGGUCCUUCACUCAGUGUUGGAACCUGAUUGUCUCCUGCCAUCCAUGGAGAAAACUUAUCUGGCAUUAAGUUGUCGGGUAGGCAAUCUCCAUCUUUUACUGUGAAAAAAUUAGAGUGUUCAAAGCAGGCUUAUGCCGUUGAAUAUAUUAGCAUGGAAUAAUAAGAUAGGACUAUGGUACUAUUUUGUUUGUUUGUGCACCAUGGUAAUGAUUAAUAGGGACAGUUGGGGGCAUUCGUAUUUAACAGUCAGAGGUGAAAUUCUUGGAUUUGUUAAAGACGGACUACUGCGAAAGCAUUUGCCAAGGAUGUUUUCAUCA
RNAcentral lists this ribosomal RNA (391 nucleotides) under Rhizosolenia sp. Its description in RNAcentral is "partial small subunit ribosomal RNA". It matches the Rfam family "Eukaryotic small subunit ribosomal RNA", at positions 582 to 975 of the family's 1831-position model. The record is from RNAcentral. Lineage: Eukaryota; Bacillariophyta; Coscinodiscophyceae; Rhizosoleniales; Rhizosoleniaceae.